This 1118-nucleotide ribosomal RNA is filed under the name uncultured eukaryote. Its description in RNAcentral is "bacterial SSU rRNA". It matches the Rfam family "Eukaryotic small subunit ribosomal RNA", at positions 606 to 1831 of the family's 1831-position model. The record is from RNAcentral.
CCGCAUGGUGUGAGUAAAGCUCGUAGUUGGAUUUCGGGCGUGUCGCGUUGCCCCUGUGGUGAUACUUGCGUCCUGGCGCCUUCCUGCCGGGGACGGGCUCCUGGGCUUUCUGUCUGGGACUCAGAGUCGGCGACGCUACUUUGAGAAAAUUAUAGUGGUCAAAGCAGGCCUACACUCCUAAACUUUGUCAUGGAAUAACACGAUAGGACUCUGGCCUAUCCUGUUGGUCUGUAGGACCGGAAUAAUGAUUAAGAGGGACAGGCGGGGGCACUCGUAUUUCAUUGGCGGAGGUGAAAUUCUUGGAUUUAUGAAAGACGAACCACUGCAAAUGCAUUUGCCAGUGAUGUUUUCAUUAAUCAAGAACGAAAGUUGGGGGCUCGAAGACAUUACAUACCGUCCUAGUCUCAACCAUAAACCAUGCCGACUACGGAUUGGAGGGCGUUGAUUUUAUGACCCCGCCAGAACCAUGAGAUACAUCGAAGUCUUUGGGUUCCGGGGCGAGUAUGGUCGCAAUGCUGAAACUUAAAGGAAUUGAACCACCGGCACCGCCACCCGCGGAACCUGCGGCUUAAUCUGACUCAAAAUCAGCACGCUUACACUGACCAGACAUAGAGAGAAUUGACAUACUGAGAUCUCUUUCUUGAUUCUGUUGCUGGUGGUGCAUGAGCAUGCUUAGUUAUUGGUCUGCCUUGUCACGUUGAUUACAGUUACGAUAGAGAACUCAACCCUCUACAUAGUCAUUGUCGCUCCAGCUGCUGGCCGACUUCUUGUCUUGACUAUGGAGUUUAGCCAAUGUACACAUGAUGCAAUAUCACGUCUGUGUGCUCCUUACAUGAUCUGGGGAGCAUGCGCGCUACACUGACGAGUGCAAAGACCCUAUCUUCGAGCGACAAGAUGCAGUAUAAUCUCUCGAAUGAGCACUCGAUGCUGGAGGAUAGAUCGAUUGCUAAUUAAUUGAUACUUCAACGAGAUGACUACUCAGCACUGAGUCAUCAUACUCGCCCUUGAUUUACUUACCCUCGCCCGUUCGUUCGUACUACCGAUCGCUCCGUACUACUUGGGUAGUCCUCUGGUGAACGUAGUCAGACUCGGCUGAAUAGCCGAGUGGGCACCUCCUG